GACGAACGCUGGCGGCGUGCUUAACACAUGCAAGUCGAACGUGAUUUUUGUGGAAAUUCUUUCGGGAAUGGAAAUGAAAUGAAAGUGGCGAACGGGUGAGUAACACGUGAGCAACCUACCUUACACAGGGGGAUAGCCGUUGGAAACGACGAUUAAUACCGCAUGAGACCACAGAAUCGCAUGAUAUAGGGGUCAAAGAUUUAUCGGUGUAAGGAGGGCUCGCGUCUGAUUAGCUAGUUGGAAGGGUAAAGGCCUACCAAGGCGACGAUCAGUAGCCGGUCUGAGAGGAUGAACGGCCACAUUGGAACUGAGACACGGUCCAAACUCCUACGGGAGGCAGCAGUGGGGAAUAUUGCACAAUGGGGGGAACCCUGAUGCAGCGACGCCGCGUGAGCGAAGAAGGUUUUCGAAUCGUAAAGCUCUGUCCUAUGAGAAGAUAAUGACGGUAUCAUAGGAGGAAGCCCCGGCUAAAUACGUGCCAGCAGCCGCGGUAAUACGUAUGGGGCGAGCGUUGUCCGGAAUUAUUGGGCGUAAAGGGCUUGUAGGCGGUUGGUCGCGUCUGCCGUGAAAUCCUCUGGCUUAACUGGGGGCGUGCGGUGGGUACGGGCUGACUUGAGUGCGGUAGGGGAGACUGGAACUCCUGGUGUAGCGGUGGAAUGCGCAGAUAUCAGGAAGAACACCGGUGGCGAAGGCGGGUCUCUGGGCCGUUACUGACGCUGAGGAGCGAAAGCGUGGGGAGCGAACAGG
RNAcentral lists this ribosomal RNA (747 nucleotides) under uncultured Parvimonas sp. RNAcentral's name for it is "bacterial SSU rRNA". It matches the Rfam family "Bacterial small subunit ribosomal RNA", at positions 28 to 776 of the family's 1533-position model. The record is from RNAcentral. Lineage: Bacteria; Bacillati; Bacillota; Tissierellia; Tissierellales; Peptoniphilaceae.